UACAGAGGGGGCAAGCGUUGUUCGGAAUUACUGGGCGUAAAGGGCGCGUAGGCGGCCUUCUAAGUCGAACGUGAAAUCCCCGGGCUCAACCCGGGAACUGCGUCCGAUACUGGAAGGCUUGAAUCCGGGAGAGGGAUGCGGAAUUCCAGGUGUAGCGGUGAAAUGCGUAGAUAUCAGGAGGAACACCUGUGGUGUAGACGGCUUACUGGACCAUGACUGACGCUGAGGCACGAAAGCGUGGGGAGCAAACAGG
This 253-nucleotide ribosomal RNA is filed under the name uncultured bacterium. Its description in RNAcentral is "partial 16S ribosomal RNA". It matches the Rfam family "Bacterial small subunit ribosomal RNA", at positions 524 to 776 of the family's 1533-position model. The record is from RNAcentral.